CCUACGGGGUGCAGCAGUGGGGAAUAUUGGACAAUGGGCGAAAGCCUGAUCCAGCCAUGCCGCGUGUGUGAAGAAGGCCUUCGGGUUGUAAAGCACUUUCAGUGGGGAAGAAAGCCUUGGGGCUAAUACCCUCGAGGAAGGACAUCACCCACAGAAGAAGCACCGGCUAACUCCGUGCCAGCAGCCGCGGUAAUACGGAGGGUGCGAGCGUUAAUCGGAAUUACUGGGCGUAAAGCGCGCGUAGGCGGUCUGAUAAGCCGGUUGUGAAAGCCCCGGGCUCAACCUGGGAACGGCAUCCGGAACUGUCAGGGUAGAGUGCAGGAGAGGAAGGUAGAAUUCCCGGUGUAGCGGUGAAAUGCGUAGAGAUCGGGAGGAAUACCAGUGGCGAAGGCGGCCUUCUGGACUGACACUGACGCUGAGGUGCGAAAGCGUGGGUAGCAAACAGGAUUAGAUACCCUGUAGUC
RNAcentral lists this ribosomal RNA (464 nucleotides) under Vreelandella stevensii. Its description in RNAcentral is "partial 16S ribosomal RNA". It matches the Rfam family "Bacterial small subunit ribosomal RNA", at positions 338 to 795 of the family's 1533-position model. Lineage: Bacteria; Pseudomonadati; Pseudomonadota; Gammaproteobacteria; Oceanospirillales; Halomonadaceae. The record is from RNAcentral.